Molecule: long non-coding RNA, 385 nt
Organism: Chinchilla lanigera (long-tailed chinchilla)
Lineage: Eukaryota; Metazoa; Chordata; Mammalia; Rodentia; Chinchillidae
Exons: 3
Source: RefSeq, a predicted model, not a curated record
UUGCCUAAUGCGUGUUCAGUAGAAGGCUCCUUGGAUUUCAGGGAAAUUCUGUGCAGGAAGAGAAUGACUGUUCACUACCGGGGGCAUGAAGGAUGCCCUUUCCUUCGCCAGUUAUAAAGAAGUACUGGAAAUGACUAACCUGAUCAACUCUGUUCAAAUACGGGGAUGGAUCCGAGAAAAAUGAAUAGAUGCAUCUGUCUUGCUGUUGGAGACCUAUUCUGUACCCUAGAGAGGCUCAUGGCGUGAGUGUGCAGACUGUCGCUACUAAAGCCUGACACGGUCACCUGCCUGGGCCCCGAGACCCGAUCAAGCUGUACCUCACGUCCCGCACGUCCAUACUCAGGACUGGUCAUAUGCAUGUAUGCAUACAAAGAUAGCUAAGAUA